This 440-nucleotide ribosomal RNA is filed under the name uncultured bacterium. RNAcentral's name for it is "partial 16S ribosomal RNA". It matches the Rfam family "Bacterial small subunit ribosomal RNA", at positions 338 to 795 of the family's 1533-position model. The record is from RNAcentral.
CCUACGGGAGGCAGCAGUGGGGAAUAUUGCACAAUGGGGGAAACCCUGAUGCAGCGACGCCGCGUGAGCGAUGACGUCUUUCGGUAUGUAAAGCUCUAUCUUCAGGGAAGAAAAUGACGGUACCUGACUAAGAAGCCCCGGCUAACUACGUGCCAGCAGCCGCGGUAAUACGUAGGGGGCAAGCGUUAUCCGGAUUUACUGGGCGUAAAGGGAGCGUAGACGGUUGUGCAAGCCAGAUGUGAAAGCCUGCGGCUCAACCGUAGAAGUGCAUUUGGAACUGGCAGUCUUGAGUGUAGGAGAGGAAGGCGGAAUUCCUAGUGUAGCGGUGAAAUGCGUAGAUAUUAGGAAGAACACCAGUGGCGAAGGCGGCCUGCUGGACGAUGACUGACGUUGAGGCUCGAAAGCGUGGGGAGCAAACAGGAUUAGAUACCCCUGUAGUC